UAGGGAAUCUUCCGCAAUGGACGAAAGUCUGACGGAGCAACGCCGCGUGAGUGAAGAAGGAUUUCGGUUCGUAAAACUCUGUUGUUAGGGAAGAAAAAAUGUAUAGUAACUAUAUACAAAAGAGACGGUACCUAACCAGAAAGCCACGGCUAACUACGUGCCAGCAGCCGCGGUAAUACGUAGGUGGCAAGCGUUGUCCGGAAUUAUUGGGCGUAAAGCGCGCGCAGGUGGUUUAGAAAGUCUGAUGUGAAAGCCCACGGCUCAACCGUGGAGGGUCAUUGGAAACUAAUAAACUUGAGUGCAGGAGAGAAAAGUGGAAUUCCUAGUGUAGCGGUGAAAUGCGUAGAGAUUAGGAGGAACACCGGUGGCGAAAGCGGCUUUUUGGCCUGCAACUGACACUGAGGCGGGAAAGCGUGGGGAGCAAACAGG
Molecule: ribosomal RNA, 429 nt
Filed under: Verrucomicrobiota bacterium
Lineage: Bacteria; Pseudomonadati; Verrucomicrobiota
Description: Verrucomicrobia bacterium partial 16S ribosomal RNA
Rfam family: Bacterial small subunit ribosomal RNA
Source: RNAcentral